GAUGAACGCUGGCGGCGUGCCUAAUACAUGCAAGUCGAGCGAACGGACGAGAAGCUUGCUUCUCUGAUGUUAGCGGCGGACGGGUGAGUAACACGUGGAUAACCUACCUAUAAGACUGGGAUAACUUCGGGAAACCGGAGCUAAUACCGGAUAAUAUUUUGAACCGCAUGGGUCAAAAGUGAAAGACGGUCUUGCUGUCACGUAUAGAUGGAUACGCGCUGCAUUAGCUAGUUGGUAAGGUAACGGCUUACCAAGGCAACGAUGCAUAGCCGACCUGAGAGGGUGAUCGGCCACACUGGAACUGAGACACGGUCCAGACUCCUACGGGAGGCAGCAGUAGGGAAUCUUCCGCAAAGGGCGAAAGCCUGACGGAGCAACGCCGCGUGAGUGAUGAAGGUCUUCGGAUCGUAAAACUCUGUUAUUAGGGAAGAACAUAUGUGUAAGUAACUGUGCACAUCUUGACGGUACCUAAUCAGAAAGCCACGGCUAACUACGUG
This 497-nucleotide ribosomal RNA is filed under the name uncultured bacterium. RNAcentral describes it as "partial 16S ribosomal RNA". It matches the Rfam family "Bacterial small subunit ribosomal RNA", at positions 28 to 507 of the family's 1533-position model. The record is from RNAcentral.